GAUCCAUUCUUCCGGAAUUGGAUAGAGAAUAGUUGGGAUAUUCCACUGGGAGGGAGAGGCGGGGGUGACAUCAGAAGUAGGAUCGUCGAACGGAUAGCUGCAUAACAUUGAGAAUUGACUCGUCGGAUUAACCACUUAGACGGAGAGUUCCCCAUAUUCCAUUUCAUUGGCAACCGAAAUAGAUCUAAACAGCGUGCCCGGAGCGAAGGAAGGGCUUCAAAAAUGAUUUGAAAAGUAAAAUCAAUGAAAGGCCCAGAUGUAGCCUUUGUGUGCGGAGCAAGCCUACACUGGCUGAGAUGAAGAAAAUGUCGACACCGAUGAAAUGUUUGAAAACAUAGACAGCGGAAGGGAAGAAGUCACUCUCAAUCCGAUCUAGCAAGAAAUGCUAUACCGAUAAAGUCAAGCGAGAGAGCUCAUUAAGAAAGAAGGCCAUCUUCCAUCCGCCUUUUUGUUUUAGAUAGGGCGAGGCUAGUACGAGACUCCGAACCAGGAUCUUGUCUUAGGAAAUAGAAUGGGACGGGAGGCCUAUCUGACCUUUUGUUUGAUUCCAUUUUCCAACCCUUUCUUUAGAACCAACCUGGAAUGCAAACAAGGAAGGAAAGGGCUGAAAUCUCCAUAUCUGAUCCAGCAAAAAAAACCUGACCUUAGCAGUGAUAGAGAUAGCAUAGCUGUAGACAGGGGGAGGGCCCGGAUUACCUUUUCUAUUAGAAUAAGGAAGGGAAUCGCUUUGAUUGCUUGCGACAGCUUAUCGAUGCUCGUUAGCGGUAAAGUCCCUCAAACCAGAAGUUUCAAAAGCGGGCCUACGAGAGAAAUUUACUUUACAUACUGAUAUCGCAUACCGAAGGGAAGGCCUAAUUGUACCACUCCCCCUGACCUUCCGCCUGAACUGAUAGAAGUUGGCUUGAGCUGAGCGUCUCUU
This 919-nucleotide long non-coding RNA is filed under the name Trifolium pratense (red clover). RNAcentral's name for it is "long non-coding RNA (TPRA_LNC008231)". The record is from RNAcentral. Lineage: Eukaryota; Viridiplantae; Streptophyta; Magnoliopsida; Fabales; Fabaceae.